This 586-nucleotide ribosomal RNA is filed under the name uncultured Nitrosomonas sp. RNAcentral describes it as "bacterial SSU rRNA". It matches the Rfam family "Bacterial small subunit ribosomal RNA", at positions 338 to 916 of the family's 1533-position model. The record is from RNAcentral. Lineage: Bacteria; Pseudomonadati; Pseudomonadota; Betaproteobacteria; Nitrosomonadales; Nitrosomonadaceae.
CCUACGGGAGGCAGCAGUGGGGAAUUUUGGACAAUGGGCGCAGGCCUGAUCCAGCCAUGCCGCGUGAGUGAAGAAGGCCUUCGGGUUGUAAAGCUCUUUCAGUUGGGAAGAAACGAUUGCAACUAAUAAUUGUAAUUAAUGACGGUACCGACAGAAGAAGCACCGGCUAACUACGUGCCAGCAGCCGCGGUAAUACGUAGGGUGCGAGCGUUAAUCGGAAUUACUGGGCGUAAAGGGUGCGCAGGCGGUUUUGUAAGUCAGAUGUGAAAUCCCCGGGCUUAACCUGGGAAUGGCGUUUGAAACUGCAAGGCUAGAGUGUAGCAGAGGGGAGUGGAAUUCCGCGUGUAGCAGUGAAAUGCGUAGAUAUGCGGAGGAACCCGAUGGCGAAGGCAGCUCCCUGGGCUAACACUGACGCUCAUGCACGAAAGCGUGGGGAGCAAACAGGAUUAGAUACCCUGGUAGUCCACGCCCUAAACGAUGUCAACUAGUUGUCGGGCCUAAUUGAGGGUUUGGUAACGUAGCUAACGCGUGAAGUUGACCGCCUGGGGAGUACGAUCGCAAGAUUAAAACUCAAAGGAAUUGACGG